UGAACGCUGGCGGCGUGCUUAACACAUGCAAGUCGAACGAUGAAGCCCAGCUUGCUGGGUGGAUUAGUGGCGAACGGGUGAGUAACACGUGAGUAACCUGCCCUUGACUCUGGGAUAAGCCUGGGAAACUGGGUCUAAUACUGGAUAUGACUUCUCAUCGCAUGGUGGGGGGUGGAAAGAUUUAUUGGUCUUGGAUGGACUCGCGGCCUAUCAGCUUGUUGGUGAGGUAAUGGCUCACCAAGGCGACGACGGGUAGCCGGCCUGAGAGGGUGACCGGCCACACUGGGACUGAGACACGGCCCAGACUCCUACGGGAGGCAGCAGUGGGGAAUAUUGCACAAUGGGCGCAAGCCUGAUGCAGCGACGCCGCGUGAGGGAUGACGGCCUUCGGGUUGUAAACCUCUUUCAGUAGGGAAGAAGCGAGAGUGACGGUACCUACAGAAGAAGCGCCGGCUAACUACGUG
This 464-nucleotide ribosomal RNA is filed under the name uncultured bacterium. RNAcentral describes it as "partial 16S ribosomal RNA". It matches the Rfam family "Bacterial small subunit ribosomal RNA", at positions 30 to 507 of the family's 1533-position model. The record is from RNAcentral.